Long non-coding RNA from Calypte anna (Anna's hummingbird), 845 nucleotides. RefSeq lists it as uncharacterized. The record is from RefSeq and is a predicted model, not a curated record. The transcript is spliced from 3 exons. Lineage: Eukaryota; Metazoa; Chordata; Aves; Apodiformes; Trochilidae.
CUUGUAACCCCGGUCUGUGCCGCGGCUCCAUCCUCUGCACUCCUCUGAGCGAUCUCCAAAUCCCCUGCGUCUCAGCACUAAAAAUAUCCCUGCCGCCCAGAGCCUCUUCCCCGGCGGAGGCUGUGUCUGUGUCAUAAGACCCUGCUAUUCGCGGGGCCCUGCUUCGAUUCCUGCGGGCCGGAGCGUGAGGACAGCAAUCCAGGAGGGCAACGCGGUGCCCGAGGAGCAACGUGCAAACCGCAGGCACAGGCUCCUCUUCCCCUAAACCCCUUGGGAGCGGGGGGAUCCGCUCCUCCUUGGGGGGUUUGGAGUUCUGAGGGAUACUGAUGCCACCGCACAACCACCUCGUGGCCCAACAGGUCCCCGGGCUCAGCUACGUCCCAGUCAGGUGCCCCCCUCCCCCGAGCAUCCCCAUCUUAGACACAGAGCUUCCCGCGCAGCCGUGCCGGGGCAGCAGAUCACGGCAUCCCGCAGGAGAGACGACAGCAGGCGGUGCGGGUGUGCCAUGGGCUACGUCCCCAGCUCACCCUCAGCAGAUCUCACUCCGGGCUGUUUUCUCCCACGUUCAGCCCUGUAUCAGGGCUGCUCCUUGGCAGAGAAGCGGCUUUGGCCUCCCUCCUCCUCCUUCCUGUAUCUCAGAAGGGUGAGUCAGUGCUCGCCGUGCCCAGCACUGCCCGCAGCCUGGUCACUGCCCUACGGGACAGGAUGGAGGGCAUCCAUUCUGCCCUUUUCUCUGGCUGAAAGGGAGUUUCCAGGGUCUGUGGCCUGUCCCGCCUGCCCCAUUCGUAAUGUGUUUGUCUCACUGUCUGAAUGAUUAAAGAUAACUGGGUAUUGUUUGUGUCCCA